This 251-nucleotide ribosomal RNA is filed under the name uncultured bacterium. RNAcentral describes it as "partial 16S ribosomal RNA". It matches the Rfam family "Bacterial small subunit ribosomal RNA", at positions 1249 to 1500 of the family's 1533-position model. The record is from RNAcentral.
ACAAAGUCGUGAGGCGGAGCAAAACACAAAACACAGUCUCAGUUCAGAUUGUAGGCUGAAACUCGCCUAUAUGAAGUCGGAAUUGCUAGUAAUCGCGGAUCAGCAUGCCGCGGUGAAUACGUUCCCGGGCCUUGUACACACCGCCCGUCACACCAUGAGAGUCGAUAACACCCGAAGCCUGUAGUCUAACAGCAAUGAGGACGCAGUCGAAGGUGGGAUUGAUAAUUAGGGUGAAGUCGUAACAAGGUACC